This 472-nucleotide ribosomal RNA is filed under the name uncultured bacterium. RNAcentral describes it as "bacterial SSU rRNA". It matches the Rfam family "Bacterial small subunit ribosomal RNA", at positions 28 to 507 of the family's 1533-position model. The record is from RNAcentral.
GAUGAACGCUAGCGGCAUGCCUUACACAUGCAAGUCGAACGGUAACGGGUUAAGCCGACGAGUGGCGAACGGGUGAGUAAUAUAUCGGAACGUGCCCAGUCGUGGGGGAUAACGUAGAGAAAUUUACGCUAAUACCGCAUACGAUCCAAGGAUGAAAGCGGGGGACCUUCGGGCCUCGUGCGACUGGAGCGGCUGAUAUCAGAUUAGGUUGUUGGUGAGGUAAAAGCUCACCAAGCCGACGAUCUGUAGCUGGUUUGAGAGAACGACCAGCCACACUGGGACUGAGACACGGCCCAGACUCCUACGGGAGGCAGCAGUGGGGAAUUUUGGACAAUGGGCGAAAGCCUGAUCCAGCAAUGCCGCGUGCAGGAUGAAGCAUCUAUGGUGUGUAAACUGCUUUUGUACGGGAAGAAACCCUUGCUUGAGAGCAAGAUUGACGGUACCGUAAGAAUAAGGAUCGGCUAACUCCGUG